Molecule: ribosomal RNA, 1203 nt
Filed under: Klebsiella pneumoniae
Lineage: Bacteria; Pseudomonadati; Pseudomonadota; Gammaproteobacteria; Enterobacterales; Enterobacteriaceae
Also listed under: 1 other name
Description: partial 23S ribosomal RNA
Rfam family: Bacterial large subunit ribosomal RNA
Source: RNAcentral
UGUGAACUCGAAGAGUAGGGCGGGACACGUGGUAUCCUGUCUGAAUAUGGGGGGACCAUCCUCCAAGGCUAAAUACUCCUGACUGACCGAUAGUGAACCAGUACCGUGAGGGAAAGGCGAAAAGAACCCCGGCGAGGGGAGUGAAAAAGAACCUGAAACCGUGUACGUACAAGCAGUGGGAGCACCUUCGGGUGUGACUGCGUACCUUUUGUAUAAUGGGUCAGCGACUUAUAUUCUGUAGCAAGGUUAACCGUAUAGGGGAGCCGCAGGGAAACCGAGUCUUAACUGGGCGUUAAGUUGCAGGGUAUAGACCCGAAACCCGGUGAUCUAGCCAUGGGCAGGUUGAAGGUUGGGUAACACUAACUGGAGGACCGAACCGACUAAUGUUGAAAAAUUAGCGGAUGACUUGUGGCUGGGGGUGAAAGGCCAAUCAAACCGGGAGAUAGCUGGUUCUCCCCGAAAGCUAUUUAGGUAGCGCCUCGUGAACUCAUCUUCGGGGGUAGAGCACUGUUUCGGCUAGGGGGUCAUCCCGACUUACCAACCCGAUGCAAACUACGAAUACCGAAGAAUGUUAUCACGGGAGACACACGGCGGGUGCUAACGUCCGUCGUGAAGAGGGAAACAACCCAGACCGCCAGCUAAGGUCCCAAAGUCAUGGUUAAGUGGGAAACGAUGUGGGAAGGCACAGACAGCCAGGAUGUUGGCUUAGAAGCAGCCAUCAUUUAAAGAAAGCGUAAUAGCUCACUGGUCGAGUCGGCCUGCGCGGAAGAUGUAACGGGGCUAAACCAUGCACCGAAGCUGCGGCAGCGACACUAUGUGUUGUUGGGUAGGGGAGCGUUCUGUAAGCCUGCGAAGGUGUGCUGUGAGGCAUGCUGGAGGUAUCAGAAGUGCGAAUGCUGACAUAAGUAACGAUAAAGCGGGUGAAAAGCCCGCUCGCCGGAAGACCAAGGGUUCCUGUCCAACGUUAAUCGGGGCAGGGUGAGUCGACCCCUAAGGCGAGGCCGAAAGGCGUAGUCGAUGGGAAACAGGUUAAUAUUCCUGUACUUGGUGUUACUGCGAAGGGGGGACGGAGAAGGCUAUGUUAGCCGGGCGACGGUUGUCCCGGUUUAAGCAUGUAGGCUGGUUAUCCAGGCAAAUCCGGAUAAUCAAGGCUGAGGUGUGAUGACGAGGCACUACGGUGCUGAAGUAACAAAUGCCCUGCUU